Non-coding RNA from Homo sapiens (human), 148 nucleotides. It matches the Rfam family "Metazoan signal recognition particle RNA". From Rfam's summary of the family: The signal recognition particle (SRP) is a universally conserved ribonucleoprotein. It is involved in the co-translational targeting of proteins to membranes. Lineage: Eukaryota; Metazoa; Chordata; Mammalia; Primates; Hominidae. The record is from Rfam.
GCUGGGCGUGGUGACGCAUGCCUGUAAUCCCAGUUACUCAGGAGGCCGAGGCAGGAGAAUCGCUUGAACCAGGGAGGCGGAGGUUGCAGUGAGCUGAGAUUGUGCCACUGCACUCCAGCCUUGGUGAUAGAGCGAGACUCCGUCUCAA